This 253-nucleotide ribosomal RNA is filed under the name uncultured bacterium. Its description in RNAcentral is "partial 16S ribosomal RNA". It matches the Rfam family "Bacterial small subunit ribosomal RNA", at positions 524 to 776 of the family's 1533-position model. The record is from RNAcentral.
GACAGAGGGGGCAAGCGUUGCUCGGAAUCACUGGGCGUAAAGGGCGCGUAGGCGGGAUGGCAAGUCAGUCGUGAAAUCUCUCGGCUCAACCGAGAAACGUCGGCUGAUACUGCCGUUCUUGAGGGAUGCAGAGGAGACUGGAAUUCCCGGUGUAGCGGUGAAAUGUGUAGAGAUCGGGAGGAACACCGGUGGCGAAGGCGGGUCUCUGGGCAUUUCCUGACGCUGAGGCGCGAAAGGGUGGGGAGCAAACGGG